Molecule: long non-coding RNA, 1065 nt
Organism: Gallus gallus (chicken)
Lineage: Eukaryota; Metazoa; Chordata; Aves; Galliformes; Phasianidae
Source: Ensembl
UUCAACCCAGGCCAUUCUAUGAUAUGAUAUGAUUCUAUGAUUCUAUGACUGUUUCUUAUCCACGAUAAUAAAAACUAAACUAAAAAACGUGUAAUUUUAUAAUAUGCUUGAGCUAGAGCAUAUUAAUUAUUAGACUAUUACUACGUAAUUGGGUCUGACUGCUGUUUAAAAUACAGUAGAAAGGAUUAGCAUUGUAAAAUGUUGACUGGAUAUGUUACGAUUCUAAAACAAGGCAGACAGCCUUUGUGCUGGUCAGUAUUUUAAGCUGAAUUAUACUGUUUGACUGAUACAACACAGGGAGGAAUGUUUAAAAGAAGCCAACAACACUCACACAGGAAAAGAAAAACACCACUGUCUGCAGUUCAGAAACUAAUAAUGCUGUCCUAUAAAAUAAUCAUCUAGUUCAGUCUAAGUAAACACAACCAAGAAUCACAUCCACUGCUUGUAUUUUACACUUAGCUACUCUCUCAUAUCAGAUGAAGAGGUACCACAAAGUCUAUUUUAAGAAGAAUUGCUUCUUUCUAUGUAAAUUCCUGCUCACCAGUGAUUACUGACAAACAGUCCACUGGGGAGGCUGAAAUAAUUAAAUAAACCAUUUAGAAGCCGAUGUAGAAACAGUGAUUGCUCUAGCUCAGCUCACCAGGCUCUUAAGAUACAGAGCUCCUUGCCAGCUUAACAACAGAUUUGGAAAUACCUGGAGUUUCCCACACCUGUAAUAAGCUAGUAAGGUCAGAAGUGGUAAAUGGUGGAAAGACAUUUAGUAAAGAACAGCUUCUGUUACUAAUCCAAGCGUUGUCCCUGCGCUGCAGGUAUAGCAAGAGGACUAUAAUCAGUAUGUUGUGCUAGCGUAAUGUGUACCUAUUUAAUGCAACGAUACCAACUUCAGUGACUUGCUUUGAAACUAAUACUUCCAGUAACUUUUUGAACUGAGUCCUUCUUAUCUCUGAAUUUCUGUUGUUUUUGUUUGCUUGUUUGCUUAUUUGUUUGUUUUUCUAAUCUCUGACCUGCUGGUUGCUAAAUAAAAUAGCCCUUCACUGUUGCUGACACAGUGGUUGCAGGGCUUAC